ACACAUUACAUUUCAAGCUGUAACGACCAUAUUUCUCUUGGGUAAAAGACAUGAAGGGGUUCUGUUGGUUAAUAGUUCUCCUUCAAGUAUGAGCUGCAGGUUCCCAAGUAUGUUACAGACAGCAAUUGGCCUGUCUAACUGUUUGGAUCACUGGCAGCAGCCUGAUGCACAAUCCAUUAGAGGAGGGGUACGGACAGGCACUAAUUCAAAGUGGAG
Non-coding RNA from Pelobates cultripes (western spadefoot toad), 216 nucleotides. The record is from the annotation of a GenBank genome assembly. NCBI's taxonomy places the organism in Eukaryota, Metazoa, Chordata, Amphibia, Anura, Pelobatidae.